Molecule: small RNA, 76 nt
Filed under: Xanthomonas dyei
Lineage: Bacteria; Pseudomonadati; Pseudomonadota; Gammaproteobacteria; Lysobacterales; Lysobacteraceae
Description: sX9 sRNA
Rfam family: Xanthomonas sRNA sX9
Source: RNAcentral
AUGUACCACUCGUCCACUCCGGUUCCUCCGCGCCGCCCGCACCCACCUGACGACUGCUCGCUACGUGUUGUUAGCC